Molecule: long non-coding RNA, 156 nt
Organism: Octopus sinensis (East Asian common octopus)
Lineage: Eukaryota; Metazoa; Mollusca; Cephalopoda; Octopoda; Octopodidae
Exons: 3
Source: RefSeq, a predicted model, not a curated record
AUGAUGAUGAUGAUGAUCAUCAUGAUUUAACAUUCAUCAUCAUACUGGCAUGUGUUGGAUGGUUUGGCAGGAGCUGACUAGCUGAAGAGCUGUUCAGGCUUCCUGUCUGUUUUGGUGUGGAUUCUAUGGCUGGGUGCCCUUCCUAAUGCCAACCAC